RNAcentral lists this ribosomal RNA (497 nucleotides) under uncultured bacterium. RNAcentral's name for it is "partial 16S ribosomal RNA". It matches the Rfam family "Bacterial small subunit ribosomal RNA", at positions 28 to 507 of the family's 1533-position model. The record is from RNAcentral.
GAUGAACGCUGGCGGCGUGCCUAACACAUGCAAGUCGAGCGGACGGACGAGAAGCUUGCGUCGUUGAUGUUAGCGGCGGACGGGUGAGUAACGCGUGGAUCACCUACUUAUAAGACUGGGAUAAUUUCGGGAAACGGGAUCAAAUCCGGUAUAAUAUUUUGAACCGCGGGGUGCAAUGGAAAGUGACGGCGUUGGGGGCUGUAAUAGCGGGUUCCGCGCUGGUUUAGCUAGUUGUUAAGUUAACGGCUUACCAAGGCGACGAUGCGUAGCCGAGCUGAGAGGGUGAUCGGCCACACUGGAGCGGAGACACGGUCCAGACUCCUACGGGAGGCAGCAGUAGGGAAUCUUCGGCAAUGGGCGAAAGCCUGACGCAGCAACGCCGCGUGAGUGAUGAAGGCCUUCGGAUCGUAAAGCUCUGUUAUUGGGGAAGAACAGAUGUGGAAGUAACUGUGGCCGUCUUGACGGUACCUAAUCAGGAAGCAACGGCUAACUACGUG